UUUCCUUCAAAUCGACAUACUAAUACAAUUGAAGUUCUAAACAACUUUGGUUGAUGAAGAUGAUGCACAAAAUAUUUAAGUAAGCAAAUAAUGAUAAAGCAACAAUGUUAUUACAUUAAUUAUCACGGAUGCCUAUGGAUGUUCUUGUGCUACGCUACAAACCAAAACAUUUCCAUUUAUACCUUGGGAUUGGAGAACCACGUUUAGUGAAAGAUGGUCAACAUAAACAUUAAAUACCAAACAACUUGAUACUGCAAAUCAAAUGUAUAAAUUUGUAAGUUGAAAAAAUGAGAUGCAAUAAACAAUGUAUUGCCAAUUUGGGGUAUUGUUUAUGAAAACUAGCAUCUGACAUAACAAAUAUACUGAGACCCAGUGGAUAAGGCGCGUCCAACUACAACUAUUUAACACACGAUACUGAUCAGCAUACUGCCAUGCGGACUGGGUAGGUCAUGUGACUGAGUCGGAGGAUUCCCUCAAGGACGCGGAGGUGGCAUUAAUGGAGGUCGAGCGCCAAGGGGAGCUGAAGGUGGAAGAGGCGGCAUUGCACCGGGUACAGGUCUGGGACCAUUUGCAGACAUAGGAGGUGGUGGAGGCAUUGAUCCUGACAUUGGAGGUGGAGGGGCUCGAGGAGGAUUUCCCAAAGGUGCGCCAGGAGGCAGCCCUUGGGGAGGAGGUGGUGGUGGUGGUAAUGGAGCUUGUGAUGCUAGGGGCAUUGGCCUUGGAGGAACACCGGGUGCUGUGGUGCCAUUGGGAGUAGAUGCAGGUGGCUGUGGUUUGGUUACCUCUAGUGGUUUGAUUUUAAAAUACAACUGCAGCUGCAGACAUAGCAACAGAAGUAGAUGCAGGUGGCUGUGGUUUGGUUACCUCUAGUGGUUUGAUUUUAAAAUACAACUGCAGCUGCAGACAUAGCAACAGUUCUGGAGUCAGUAGCUGCUAGUGGAAAUAAAAUAUCAACAAUGCAGGCAUGUCACAACCAAAAGGAACAAAGAGAAUGCAUGAAAGGAUGGAAAUACUCAUCGUAGUUCCACAAUUAACUACUUGCUUGAAUCAUUAGUUUGUACAAGGGAAAACAAUUAAAAUGCAAAGAUUUUGAUAUAACCGGUCAAACUGGUUCUAUGAUGUCUAAAGAUUAAGUGCGUUUUAAUUAGCAUAUUUUGAUAUCAAGAAAAAAAAAUCAUCAAAAGAUGUUUUAUCUACAAAAAAGUACCGACCGUAAAUGUACCGACCGUAAACAUCUUGGAAUCUGGGUCCCAAUGUGAGAAAAACUUUGGCGUGGACUUGUCAAUCUCUGUGCUAGGGAUCUGAAAAUGUAGAUUAACAAGUACAAACAAAUAAACUUCCACAGCUCAACAAACGUAUUCGAGGACUUAGACACGACAAAUAAUAAACUAGAGCAAUUAUUUACCUUGAAAGAAAUUGUUUCAUAUGGUUCAGCUGCAAACAAGAGAUAUUGAUAUCUUUUAUCAAAUGGUUGCACCCUCUAUACACACAAAAACGGAAAUGUUAAAAGAUGGCCUACAUGCAACAAAUAAUUUGACAACUUUGCCUUAACAGUUUACCUGCUCAUAGGAGGACAUAAUGUGCUAUUUGUGCUUGUGUGUUUGUUUUAGCUUGCUUCCUGUGCAAGUUAGGUUUAGUUUGGCUUGCUUCCUGUGCAAGUCAUGUUUAGGAUAGCUUGCUUCCUGUGCAAGUUAGCUAGAAAUCUUGACUUAGGGAUGAUUUUGCAUGAUAACAUCUAGGCUCGAGUCGUAGUCUCCCUAGUUGUGUCUCCCUCUGUUAUCUGGUUAGGCUAGUCCUGUAUCCCUGUUUAGGGGAACUACGUCGCCCUGAUCCUCAUACCAGAUGAGGUACGUAGGCAGGAGAUGAGCUGAUCUCUCCGGGCGCCCUUUUUGUUUUGUCUUUGUGUGUGUUAGAAGAUGGAUGUAAGUCCAGCGAUUGGCAUUCCGUAUCCUCUUGUUGUGUGCUUGGAGUCCGGUAUAAGUCCAUCAAGUGGCAUCUGGUUUCCAGUGUGGGUGUGUUUGGUUCGGAAGCUGAUGUAAGUCCAGCAAUUGGCGUUCAGGUUCCAUGUUUGCCCAUUUUUGUGUGGAGUUUGACGUAAGCCCAGCGAUUGGCAGUCGAUUUCCUGUGUUGCUUUGUUUGGCGUGCGUUAGCCGAGCUACGGAUGCUCUGAUUCUUCUUUGUCCAAGAAGAUACGUAUGCAUAGGAUGCGACAUCGUAGCGAGCAUGUGUUUUCCCCCCAGUCCGAACUACUUUGACUCUGAUGUCUAUGCUUGAUAGACUAAGUAGGCCCAGGAUGCGAUAUUCUGCCGAGUCAGUCUUGUCUAUUUUCUUGUGUCUCUUUCAGCCAAUGUUUGUUUGUUUGUGAGCAGUGUUUUAGCAACCAUUUUCCUUCCUUUUGUGCGUGGAUCCCGUCGAGUACGACGGAUGCGUAGGGGUGCUAAUACCUUCCCUUCGCAUAACCGACUCCCGAUCCCAUUCUCUUUGGUCGCGAGACCAUGCUUUUUCCAGGUUUACUUUGAGCGUUUCCUUUCCCUCUUUUGGGAUAAAUAACGCACGGUGGCGGCUCUGUUGUUCUUGUUUCCCGCCGGUUUUUCGUGUAAUGCGACACAGACACCAUUUUCAUAUAUGUAUGAGUAUAUGAUGAUAUUGUGUUCCUAAUGGUGCAUAAUGCAUUGAGCUGUGUGAUGUAUUAGAGUUAUGCAUAAGAAUAAAAGCAAUUGCUUGCUUUUGUACAUUGUCAUUUAAACAAUUUUUAGAUUGGAUCAAUCUAAAUUAAAUUAUUCCUACUUUUCAAUGUUUUACUAUAUGCUAGUGUGAUUUAUCUGGAUAUAUUCUUUUACACGUAACAAUUUAUGUUUUUUCAUGUGUACACAUGUUAGAGGUAAAAAACAUGAACAUCUAUUCAUGUAACUUUGGUGCUUUUAUAAUGAAAUCUUUUGAAGACGAAGUCUAGAACUGAGCUGUGAUCAUAUUGACAAUAUUUGAUUCACAGUUUUACCCUUUCCUUCAAAUCGACAUACUAAUACAAUUGAAGUUCUAAACAACUUUGGUUGAUGAAGAUGAUGCACAAAAUAUUUAAGUAAGCAAAUAAUGAUAAAGCAACAAUGUUAUUACAUUAAUUAUCACGGAUGCCUAUGGAUGUUCUUGUGCUACGGUACAAACCAAAACAUUUCCAUCUAUACCUUGGGAUUGGAGAACCACGUUUAGUGAAAGAUGGUCAACAUAAACAUUAAAUACCAAACAACUUGAUACUGCAAAUCAAAUGUAUAAAUUUGUAAGUUGCAAAAAUGAGAUGCAAUAAACAAUGUAUUGCCAAUUUGGGGUAUUGUUUAUGAAAACUUGCAUCUGACAUAACAAAUAUACUGAGACCCAGAGGAUAAGGCGCGUCCAACUACAACUAUUUAACACACGAUACUGAUCAGCAUACUGCCAUGCGGACUGGGUAGGUCAUGUGCAAUUGGCGGAGGCAAACAGAUGCCCUAGCUCUGCAUUUGUUGGCCUGGAAAACCUUGCGGAGGUGGCAUUGAUGGAGGUCGAGCGCCAAGGGGAGCUGGAGGUGGAAGAGGCGGCAUUGCACCGGGUACAGGUCUUGGACCAUUUGCAGACAUAGGAGGUGGUGGAGGCAUUGAUCCUGACAUUGGAGGUGGAGGGGCUCGAGGAGGAUUUCCCAAAGGUGCGCCAGGAGGCAGCCCUUGGGGAGGAGGUGGUGGUGGUAAUGGAGCUUGUGAUGCUGGGGGCAUUGGCCUUGGAGGAACACCGGGUGCUGUGGUGCCAUUGGGAGUAGAUGCAGGUGGCUGUGGUUUGGUUACCUCUGGUGGUUUGAUUUUAAAAUACAACUGCAGCUGCAGACAUAGCAACAGUUCUGGAGUCAGUAGCUGCUAGUGGAAAUAAAAUAUCAACAAUGAAUGCAUGCAUGUCACAACCAAAAGGAACAAAGAGAAUGCAUGAAAGGAUGGAAAUACUUAUCGUAGUUCCACAAUUAACUGCUUGCUUGAAUCAUUAGUUUGCACAAGGGAAAACAAUUAAAAUGCAAAGAUUUUGAUAUAACCGGCCAAACU
This 4058-nucleotide long non-coding RNA is filed under the name Lathyrus oleraceus (garden pea). Its description in RNAcentral is "Pisum sativum (pea) long non-coding RNA (PSAT_LNC001004)". The record is from RNAcentral. Lineage: Eukaryota; Viridiplantae; Streptophyta; Magnoliopsida; Fabales; Fabaceae.